RNAcentral lists this ribosomal RNA (497 nucleotides) under uncultured bacterium. RNAcentral describes it as "partial 16S ribosomal RNA". It matches the Rfam family "Bacterial small subunit ribosomal RNA", at positions 28 to 507 of the family's 1533-position model. The record is from RNAcentral.
GAUGAACGCUGGCGGCGUGCCUAAUACAUGCAAGUCGAGCGAACAGACGAGGAGCUUGCUCCUCUGACGUUAGCGGCGGACGGGUGAGUAACACGUGGUUAACCUACCUAUAAGACUGGGAUAACAUCGGGAAACCGGAGCUAAGACCGGAUAAUAUAUUGAACCGCAUUGUUCAAUAGUGAAAGACGGUUGUGGUGUCACUUAUAGAUGGAUCCGCGCCGCAUUAGCUAGUUGGUAAGGUAACGGCUUACCAAGGCGACGAUGCGUAGCCGACCUCAGAGGGUGAUCGGACACACUGGAACUGAGACACGGCCCAGACUCCUACGGGAAGCAGCAGUCGGGAAUCUUCCGCAAUGGGCGAAAGCCUGACGGAGCAACGCCGCGUGAGUGAUGAAGGUCUUCGGAUCGUAAAGCUCUGUUAGUAGGGAAGAACAAAUGUGUAAGUACCUAUGCACGUCUUGACGGUACCUAAUCAGAAAGCCACGGCUAACUACGUG